UUUGACGUUAUCGGCGGACGGGUGAGUAACACGUGGGUAACCUACCUAUAAGACUGGGAUAACUUCGGGAAACCGGAGCUAAUACCGGAUAACAUUUGGAACCGCAUGGUUCUAAAGUGAAAGAUGGUUUUGCUAUCACUUAUAGAUGGACCCGCGCCGUAUUAGCUAGUUGGUAAGGUAACGGCUUACCAAGGCGACGAUACGUAGCCGACCUGAGAGGGUGAUCGGCCACACUGGAACUGAGACACGGUCCAGACUCCUACGGGAGGCAGCAGUAGGGAAUCUUCCUGCAAUGGGCGAAAGCCUGACGGAGCAACGCCGCGUGAGUGAUGAAGGGUUUCGGCUCGUAAAUACUCUGUUAUUAGGGAAGAACAAAUGUGUAAGUAUACUGUGCACGUGCUUGUACGGUACCUAC
RNAcentral lists this ribosomal RNA (415 nucleotides) under Staphylococcus saprophyticus. RNAcentral describes it as "bacterial SSU rRNA". It matches the Rfam family "Bacterial small subunit ribosomal RNA", at positions 85 to 482 of the family's 1533-position model. Lineage: Bacteria; Bacillati; Bacillota; Bacilli; Caryophanales; Staphylococcaceae. The record is from RNAcentral.